GAAGUGCGAACCAAGCGAGCGCCCCAGCGCUGUAAGACUUGGAGCGGGAGCCCGCAAGGACUCCCUACA
Molecule: non-coding RNA, 69 nt
Submitted as: unclassified sequences
Source: Rfam